GCGGUGGAGCAUGUGGUUUAAUUCGACGCAACGCGAAAACCUUACCGUGGUUUGACAUGCCGAGGAUCCUGAUGAAAGUCGGGAGUGCCCCGUAAGGGAACUUUGGACACAGGUGCUGCAUGGCUGUCGUCAGCUCGUGCCGUGAGGUGUUGGGUUAAGUCCCGCAACGAGCGCAACCCUCAUCCUUAGUUGCCAUCAUUAAGUUGGGCACCCUAAGGAAACUGCCGCAGUUAAUGCGGAGGAAGGUGGGGAUGACGUCAAGUCCUCAUGGCCCUUAUAUCCAGGGCUACACACGUGCUACAAUGAGCGGCACAAAGGGUCGCAAACCCGCGAGGGGGAGCUAAUCCCACAAAUCCGCUCCUAGUUCGGAUUGGAGUCUGCAACUCGACUCCAUGAAGCUGGAAUCGCUAGUAAUCGCGGAUCAGCAUACCGCGGUGAAUACGUUCCCGGGCCUU
This 455-nucleotide ribosomal RNA is filed under the name uncultured Syntrophorhabdus sp. Its description in RNAcentral is "bacterial SSU rRNA". It matches the Rfam family "Bacterial small subunit ribosomal RNA", at positions 929 to 1382 of the family's 1533-position model. Lineage: Bacteria; Pseudomonadati; Thermodesulfobacteriota; Syntrophorhabdia; Syntrophorhabdales; Syntrophorhabdaceae. The record is from RNAcentral.